Molecule: transfer RNA, 67 nt
Filed under: Herbinix luporum
Lineage: Bacteria; Bacillati; Bacillota; Clostridia; Lachnospirales; Lachnospiraceae
Also listed under: 2 other names
Description: tRNA-Val
Rfam family: tRNA
About the family: Transfer RNA (tRNA) molecules are approximately 80 nucleotides in length. Their secondary structure includes four short double-helical elements and three loops (D, anti-codon, and T loops).
Source: RNAcentral
UUAGCUCAGCUGGGAGAGCACCUGCCUUACAAGCAGGGGGUCAUAGGUUCGAGCCCUAUAGGUCCCA